Long non-coding RNA from Vespula pensylvanica (western yellowjacket), 1280 nucleotides. RefSeq lists it as uncharacterized. NCBI's taxonomy places the organism in Eukaryota, Metazoa, Arthropoda, Insecta, Hymenoptera, Vespidae. The transcript has 5 exons. The record is from RefSeq and is a predicted model, not a curated record.
CUUGGCGGCGCUGUCGUCGUAGCUUUAUUCAGCGCCUACGAUCGUCCGACGGCGAGGAUGUCCGCGUCAAAGAUCUCCGUGUUCGGGGAUCCCUGUGUCUUUGUUUUUCCCGUCGCCUCGAGUCCGCGAUAUCUCGAGGAAGAGACCCUUAACGUUUCUACGAACGAUCCAUCCAUCUCGUCGCCCCUCGCCGGGUGUCCUCGUCGUUCUCGUCAUCGCGAGAUUCACCGAAGGAGAAAGGAGGAGGAAGAAGGAGAGGAAGAGGACCACUCUGUUUUACCGUACGAUUUAACCGACUUUCCCGAUGAAAUUUCGCUCCAAUAAUCCAAGCAUCAUCUUUCCUUCUCCGUCGAUUCGUCUUCCUUCUUUUUGCUUGUAAAUUUUCUCUCUCUCUCUCUCUCUCUCUCUCUCUCUCUUCCCCCUCCCUCCCUCUCUCCUCAACGGUUUUUCGCGACGAGACCUUGGUAAGAAAGUCACGUGGUUCGCCGGUUAGUCCAUUGUUUACAGCAGCUUAUACGACCGUUCAAAGUUACGCGUUGUUGUUGAUAGGCGUCGAACGUUCUGUCGACAAGUGUUCGCAACAUGAAUAUUCGUUUGUUCGUCCUUCGUUGAGAAUAAUCAUCGGAAAAAGUGAAAUGCUCGUUUCGUAGAACGUUGAGAAGAACGCGAAGAAGAAUCAAUCGAGAGCGUUGCGCGGUUCGAAAGCCACGGAGGGAUCUUCGUUGCCCGAUAUUUGUACUUUCUAGAAACGAACGGGCUAUCGUCACUUCGUAAAAGUGAUAGAUCUUGGAAAACAUUUAGACGCAAUAAAUCGAGAACGAUCGCCGUACCUUUUUCAGAUAAGAAGUGCAGCACGAGGAGGGAUCAAGAAGGAACUCGUCUUCGCACGACGUUAAAGGCCAAGGCUACUGCUGUUGCUGCUGCUUUCACCGAAGAGCUUCCACUGGAAGAGAGAAAGAGAGAGAGAGAGAGAGAGUGGGAGAGAAAGAGAAAGACGGACGAAGGAAGAGAAUGAGAGAGUGAGAGGAAAGACGACGAGUCGGCACGUGGGCAAGCCAAGAUCAACCGAGGGUUUGUUGUGCGUGGUGGUGAAAGUGAGAAAGAAGAGUAGAAAAAGAGAGACAGAGAGAGAGAGAGAGAGAGAGAGAGAGAGAGGUGUACUUUAUUGGCAAAGACUGCUGGAUUGUUUACUUUGACGACGAACUCGAAAGAAAUUUUUACGAGCAAGACUAGCGUGCGAGGAACUCGGAGAGGAGUAGGAGAAGGAGGAGAGAGAGAGA